UAGGGCGGGGAAAGGUACUGU
RNAcentral lists this microRNA (21 nucleotides) under Monodelphis domestica (gray short-tailed opossum). RNAcentral describes it as "mdo-miR-7375-3p". The record is from miRBase by way of RNAcentral. Lineage: Eukaryota; Metazoa; Chordata; Mammalia; Didelphimorphia; Didelphidae.